This 253-nucleotide ribosomal RNA is filed under the name uncultured bacterium. Its description in RNAcentral is "partial 16S ribosomal RNA". It matches the Rfam family "Bacterial small subunit ribosomal RNA", at positions 524 to 776 of the family's 1533-position model. The record is from RNAcentral.
UACAGAGGGGGCAAGCGUUGUUCGGAAUUACUGGGCGUAAAGGGCGCGUAGGCGGCCUUCUAAGUCGAACGUGAAAUCCCCGGGCUCAACCUGGGAACUGCAUUUGUGACUGCAUCGCUGGAGUGCGGCAGAGGGGGAUGGAAUUCCGCGUGUAGCAGUGAAAUGCGUAGAUAUGCGGAGGAACACCGAUGGCGAAGGCAAUCCCCUGGGCCUGCACUGACGCUCAUGCACGAAAGCGUGGGGAGCAAACAGG